Molecule: ribosomal RNA, 755 nt
Filed under: uncultured bacterium
Lineage: Bacteria
Description: bacterial SSU rRNA
Rfam family: Bacterial small subunit ribosomal RNA
Source: RNAcentral
GUCGACGGUUCCGAUUUAUCGGAAUAGUGGCGAACGGGUGAGUAACGCGUAAGUAACCUACCCCUAAGUAGAGGAUAACUCCGAGAAAUUGGAGCUAAUACUGUAUGUGGUAAUGGAGGUAAUGCUUCAUUACUAAAGCCUUAGGGCGCUUGGGGAGGGGCUUGCGUCCGAUUAGCUAGUUGGUAGGGUAAUGGCUUACCAAGGCGGUGAUCGGUAGCUGGUUUGAGAGGACGGUCAGCCACACUGGGACUGAGACACGGCCCAGACUCCUACGGGAGGCAGCAGCAAGGAAUAUUGUGCGAUGGGCGAAAGCCUGACACAGCGACGCCGCGUGGGGGAUGAAGGCCUUCGGGUUGUAAACCCCUUUUCUCAGGGAAGAAUAAUGACGGUACCUGAGGAAUAAGUCUCGGCUAACUACGUGCCAGCAGCCGCGGUAAGACGUAGGAGGCUAGCGUUAUCCGGAUUUACUGGGCGUAAAGAGGGCGUAGGCGGUCUGGCAAGUCGGAUGUAAAAUCUCUCGGCUUAACCGGGAGGGAUCAUUCGAUACUGUUGGGCUAGAGGGCAGCAGAGGGAGGUGGAAUUCCCGGUGGAGUGGUGAAAUGCGUAGAUAUCGGGAGGAACACCAGUGGCGAAGGCGGCCUCCUGGGCUGUUACUGACGCUGAGGCCCGAAAGCGUGGGGAGCGAACAGGAUUAGAUACCCUGGUAGUCCACGCUGUAAACUAUGGACACUAGGUAUGGGGAGUACCGACCCUUU